UUAGCUUUGCGUAUAAAAUACAGUUCCUUAUCAAGACUUUGCUCUGCAUCGAGAAAAGAUGGAUCAGUUGAAGGCUCUGCCUUCACCUCUUCUGAAGUGCUUGCUUCUGAUAUGGACUUGGUCAUGUCCUCAAACUCGGCCAAGAGAGGUACACUGAGCGAAUAAACACUCCCAUUGGGAGCUAUUAGAACCCUCGAGAAAGAAUUCUCUUCUUCAGAAUCUAAGUCUUCAUCACUAUCACUCUCCAGUGACUUUUCCUGAGCUUCCCUGCGAAUGAACUUCUCAAGACUCUCAAUCAGCAAUUGCUCAAAGGUCUGGUGGUUUUCCUUGCGAACAUCCUUGUAACCAUAUCUGUUCAUGACAGUGUUGAACAAAACAAUGAGUGACUCUCUCUUUCUAAAAAUGCCUCAAGAUGCCCACAUGAAGAUUCAUCGAUUUUAUCUAAACUGCAUAUCAUACCACCAGAUGGGUCUCAAUGGAAUCACAACAAAGGGUUGGAUACGAAUAUAUUUUGGAAAAUGCAGCUAUGUAAAGUUUGCAAAUAUGACUUCAAGCCAAUGCUACCAUAUCAAUGCAUAACAUUUUAAUGAAAUUGAAGGUUUGACAAUAUAAUUUAGAUCAACAUAUUUAGAAUGUUCAACAUUGUUCAAUUGUGCAUCAAGGCACAACCGACCACCUUCAUCUUCAUGUCAUAAUCCCUAGUUUUUAAAGCAAGGGUUCACCAGGUAAAAAGUACAGAGUGCUGCAACCAAAUUGCUCCUCAUAAAUUGAGAAAAACGAUCCUCUCCCCUCUAUUUCUUCAAAUUAUGCAUUAGUCGAAGAAAAGAACAUCUCAAACUUCCAUGACAAAUUAUAAAUAAACAUGCAACAAAAUCAGAGAAUCCAGUUAAUUACCACUGGGUGAAAUGAGUUUGAAAUACCCAUAACAUUCAGCAGACUAAACACGAUACAGUCCAUUAUUAUCUUAAUUCUGAAGCAAAAUAAUCUUUACCCCAAAAAAACUCCAUUCACGGUGAAUUGGGCAGGCAAAUAGGAGGACCAAGUUUAACCAUCGCAACUUAAUAAAUCAGACAUUACAGUCCGCAUGAUAUAUUACCUGGCAACACAACGAAAUAUGUGGUAGCUUUUCGGGCAGACUCGACGGAACAAAAACCUUUCGCUUUGAACCACAACAGGAACAGGAACAUAUUUUAUACAUACAAAUAUGAUCAUAGAAUGCACAGCAGGAAGUGUGGUAAGAAAAUGUCCAAAUAUAGCUGGUGCUUGCUUCUGAUAUGGACUUGGUCAUGUCCUCAAACUCGGCCAAGAGAGGUACACUGAGCGAAUAAACACUCCCAUUGGGAGCUAUUAGAACCCUCGAGAAAGAAUUCUCUUCUUCAGAAUCUAAGUCUUCAUCACUAUCACUCUCCAGUGACUUUUCCUGAGCUUCCCUGCGAAUGAACUUCUCAAGACUCUCAAUC
RNAcentral lists this long non-coding RNA (1460 nucleotides) under Olea europaea (common olive). RNAcentral describes it as "long non-coding RNA (OEUR_LNC006243)". Lineage: Eukaryota; Viridiplantae; Streptophyta; Magnoliopsida; Lamiales; Oleaceae. The record is from RNAcentral.